RNAcentral lists this non-coding RNA (28 nucleotides) under Drosophila melanogaster (fruit fly). Lineage: Eukaryota; Metazoa; Arthropoda; Insecta; Diptera; Drosophilidae. The record is from RNAcentral.
GCCGAAUCUCUUCUGGCCACGAGCACCC